RNAcentral lists this ribosomal RNA (468 nucleotides) under uncultured bacterium. RNAcentral describes it as "partial 16S ribosomal RNA". It matches the Rfam family "Bacterial small subunit ribosomal RNA", at positions 28 to 507 of the family's 1533-position model. The record is from RNAcentral.
GACGAACGCUGGCGGCGUGCUUAACACAUGCAAGUCGAACGGAAAGGCCCUGCUUUUGUGGGGUGCUCGAGUGGCGAACGGGUGAGUAACACGUGAGUAACCUGCCCUUGACUUUGGGAUAACUUCAGGAAACUGGGGCUACUACCGGAUAGGAGCUCCUGCUGCAUGGUGGGGGUUGGAAAGUUUCGGCGGUUGGGGAUGGACUCGCGGCUUAUCAGCUUGUUGGUGGGGUAGUGGCUUACCAAGGCUUUGACGGGUAGCCGGCCUGAGAGGGUGACCGGCCACAUUGGGACUGAGAUACGGCCCAGACUCCUACGGGAGGCAGCAGGGGGGAAUAUUGCACAAUGGGCGGAAGCCUGAUGCAGAAACGCCGCGUGCGGGAUGACGGCCUGCGGGUUGUAAACCGCUUUCGCCUGUGACGAAGCGUGAGUGACGGUAAUGGGUAAAGAAGCACCGGCUAACUACGUG